This 301-nucleotide ribosomal RNA is filed under the name uncultured bacterium. RNAcentral's name for it is "partial 16S ribosomal RNA". It matches the Rfam family "Bacterial small subunit ribosomal RNA", at positions 509 to 807 of the family's 1533-position model. The record is from RNAcentral.
CAGUAGCCGCGGUAAUGCGUAGGUGGCAAGCGUUGUCCGGAAUUAUUGGGCGUAAAGGGCUCGCAGGCGGUUUCUUAAGUCUGAUGUGAAAGCCCCCGGCUCAACCGGGGAGGGUCAUUGGAAACUGGGAAACUUGAGUGCAGAAGAGGAGAGUGGAAUUCCACGUGUAGCGGUGAAAUGCGUAGAGAUGUGGAGGAACACCAGUGGCGAAGGCGACUCUCUGGUCUGUAACUGACGCUGAGGAGCGAAAGCGUGGGGAGCGAACAGGAUUAGAUACCCCUGUAGUCCCUGUCUCUUAUAC